GGCCUAUUUCGUUUUGGAGUCGGUCUUUUAGUCCUGACGGUUCGUGUUUUUGUAUUUUAAUAAUAGCCCAGUAUUUUCCUUCAAAAAAAAGCCUUAAACCGACGCCGGGAUAUCCUUGGAAUGGGAUAUACCAGGCCGGGAUAUCCUUGGAAUGGGAUAUACCAGGCCGGGAUAUCCCUUUUUAGGAUAUCCCCAAACCGGGAUAUACACCGAAUGGGAUAUCCCUACAUGGAAUAAGUUUGACAGGUAGUCCGGUCCUGCAGCAUAAAAAAUCUG
This 276-nucleotide long non-coding RNA is filed under the name Gossypium barbadense (sea-island cotton). RNAcentral's name for it is "long non-coding RNA (GBAR_LNC019603)". The record is from RNAcentral. Lineage: Eukaryota; Viridiplantae; Streptophyta; Magnoliopsida; Malvales; Malvaceae.